GGAAUAUUGGGCAAUGGGCGAAAGCCUGACCCAGCAACGCCGCGUGAGGGAAGAAGGUUUUCGGAUUGUAAACCUCUGUUGUGGAUGACGAAGGAAGUGACGGUAAUCCACAAGGAAGCCCCGGCUAACUACGUGCCAGCAGCCGCGGUAAUACGUAGGGGGCGAGCGUUGUCCGGAAUGACUGGGCGUAAAGGGCGCGUAGGCGGUCUGGUAAGUUAGGAGUGAAAUUCCAUUUUUCAAGGAUGGAACUGCUUUUAAUACUGCCGGGCUUGAGUGCAGAAGAGGUAAGCGGAAUUCCCAGUGUAGCGGUGAAAUGCGUAGAGAUUGGGAAGAACACCAGUGGCGAAGGCGGCUUACUGGGCUGUAACUGACGCUGAGGCGCGAAAGCGUGGGGAGCGAACA
RNAcentral lists this ribosomal RNA (402 nucleotides) under uncultured bacterium. Its description in RNAcentral is "bacterial SSU rRNA". It matches the Rfam family "Bacterial small subunit ribosomal RNA", at positions 358 to 774 of the family's 1533-position model. The record is from RNAcentral.